GACGGAGGAUGCAAGCGUUAUCCGGAAUGAUUGGGCGUAAAGCGUCCGCAGGUGGCAGUUCAAGUCUGCUGUCAAAGACCGGGGCUUAACUUCGGAAAGGCAGUGGAAACUGAACAGCUAGAGUAUGGUAGGGGCAGAGGGAAUUCCUGGUGUAGUGGUGAAAUGCGUAGAGAUCAGGAAGAACAUCGGUGGCGAAGGCGCUCUGCUGGACCAUAACUGACACUCAGGGACGAAAGCUAGGGGAGCGAAUGGG
This 253-nucleotide ribosomal RNA is filed under the name uncultured bacterium. Its description in RNAcentral is "partial 16S ribosomal RNA". It matches the Rfam family "Bacterial small subunit ribosomal RNA", at positions 524 to 776 of the family's 1533-position model. The record is from RNAcentral.